This 473-nucleotide long non-coding RNA is filed under the name Daphnia magna. RNAcentral describes it as "uncharacterized LOC123477573". The record is from RNAcentral. Lineage: Eukaryota; Metazoa; Arthropoda; Branchiopoda; Diplostraca; Daphniidae.
ACGGAAUCUUCCGGCGAGGUAUUCAGCAACUGUGCCUUCUUGAAGCGAACUCGACUGCCCAAGAUUUGCCAGUCUCGGAGGAGCAUGGAUCGGCGAAACCAUCUUAAUUCUAUUUAAUCAUUGCCUUCCUUCUGUAUAGUCUAUUAUAGAUAUAUAUAUUUAUUAUUAUUUUCAUUUUCACCACUUGGCAACACAACUAGCCUUGUCGCCAAGUUACUGUUUAGUAGUAGCCAUUGUUAUUUCAGUUGUGAUCUGUGAGUCAAUUUACUGUCUGUCAAUCGUGCACGUCUGAUCAUACUUAGUGUUGUCUGUUCGUGAAACUUGUGAUUGUGAUUGCAUGCUUGGUGGCAAUUGUUUGCGUGUGCAAGCCUAAUUCCACACACGCCGACAUUGUCCAUAAUCUAUUCCUUGUAUGGUGAGAAUAUACCCUGUCCAAGGCAGCAAACUUACUGAUUUAGUCAGAGCUUCAGAAC